This 1051-nucleotide long non-coding RNA is filed under the name Nicotiana benthamiana. RNAcentral's name for it is "long non-coding RNA (NBEN_LNC008362)". The record is from RNAcentral. Lineage: Eukaryota; Viridiplantae; Streptophyta; Magnoliopsida; Solanales; Solanaceae.
GAACUUGGUUCCUCUGGUGCUUCCUCAUCCACUUCCACCACAUGAAUGUUUUUGUCACAUACCACUUCUCCAGUUUUAUCAGCCUCUUCUUUUUCUUCUUACUACUCCUUUUUCUCUUUUGCAAGUCAGACUUAAAAGCCUCAUUUACUUGCAACCUAGUGGUAGGUCACUUAGGAGAGAGAAGAUGAGUGGUUACUGACCUCCUCUUGGAAAUAAACGCCUCCAAAGAACCAUUAUCUUGAUCUUCUGCAUCACUAGAACUCAUACCAGGAGCCAGAAUUUCUAAGGGCUCAACAUCAAAGUGUGGAGAAGGAGAAAAGUUGAAAUUGACCCGGGAAGAGGGUCCCAGACCGGUUUCCUCAGGAAAAGGGGUCAGGUCCGUCAAGAGGGGUCUCAAUAGUUUCUGCUAGUGCAAAGUUUUCAAAAAGCACCACAGCUCCUUCUUCCACUGGCCUCUAUGUCUCAUUCCUCUAACACUCGGGCACAGUAGAGAUCACUGCAUACACUAUUCCAUCUACAGAUAAGGCCAAUAUAUUAUCUAUGGCCUCUUUCUCUUAAGACUCCUUGGAUUCAACAAAUAAAGAGGUGGGACCAACUGUAGACCAAUUAAUGCUAACCUCUAAGACCUCUAUUAUCUGCAAGACUUUACUCUGUAAUCCACCCUUGCUUUGUUCAGUGAAAAUCUCAGGAGAUAAAGAUGAGGGACUAUAAGGUCUUUGGGUUUUUGAGUUCUCAACAUUUUGAGGGAAAGAGAGGUUUGAGAGAGUGAUAUGAGAAAUGGAGUGUCUAGGAGAGUCAAUUUUGGGAGUAUCCUCUGUAGAGGUGGUUAUAAAAGGGAUGGUGAGAGAUGGUUCACUAGAAGAGGUGGAAUCAAGGGUUUUCUCGACUAGUUGAGAGUUUCGGAGAAAGACUAAAGAGAAGGAUAUGAUCGUUCAAGAAGAAGAGAGGGUUUAAAUGGGAGAAGAGAUAAUUAUGAGGGAAAGAGAGAAACCGAUUAUGAAAGGUAGUAGUUUUGUGGGGAGUUACAACAUUUCAGUGGGAGAUGAAGGGA